This 177-nucleotide ribosomal RNA is filed under the name Escherichia coli O104:H4 str. 11-4623. Its description in RNAcentral is "partial 16S ribosomal RNA". Lineage: Bacteria; Pseudomonadati; Pseudomonadota; Gammaproteobacteria; Enterobacterales; Enterobacteriaceae. The record is from RNAcentral.
AAAUCUUGAAAUUCAGGGUUGACUCUGAAAGAGGAAAGCGUAAUAUACGCCACCUCGCGACAGUGCGCUAAAGCGCGUCGCAACUGCUCUUUAACAAUUUAUCAGACAAUCUGUGUGGGCACUCGAAGAUACGGAUUCUUAACGUCGCAAGACGAAAAAUGAAUACCAAGUCUCAAG